Molecule: ribosomal RNA, 710 nt
Filed under: uncultured Draconibacterium sp.
Lineage: Bacteria; Pseudomonadati; Bacteroidota; Bacteroidia; Marinilabiliales; Prolixibacteraceae
Description: bacterial SSU rRNA
Rfam family: Bacterial small subunit ribosomal RNA
Source: RNAcentral
AGCGGCGCACGGGUGCGUAACGCGUAUGCAACCUGCCUUAUACAAAGGGAUAGCCCAUGGAAACGUGGAUUAAUAUCUUAUAGGACUUAUGAAUCGCAUGGUUUAUAAGUUAAAACUACGGUGGUAUAAGAUGGGCAUGCGUCUGAUUAGGUAGUUGGUAGGGUAACGGCCUACCAAGCCGACGAUCAGUAGGGGUUCUGAGAGGAUUACCCCCCACACUGGUACUGAGACACGGACCAGACUCCUACGGGAGGCAGCAGUGAGGAAUAUUGGUCAAUGGGCGAGAGCCUGAACCAGCCAUCCCGCGUGCAGGAUGACGGCCCUAUGGGUUGUAAACUGCUUUUCUGCUCCAAGAAACCCUGUUACGUGUAACAGGUUGACGGUAGAGUAGGAAUAAGCAUCGGCUAACUCCGUGCCAGCAGCCGCGGUAAUACGGAGGAUGCAAGCGUUAUCCGGAUUCAUUGGGUUUAAAGGGUGCGCAGGUGGGAAUGUAAGUCAGUGGUGAAAUACUGCCGCUUAACGGUAGAGCUGCCAUUGAUACUGCGUUUCUUGAGUAUGGUUGAGGUAGGUGGAAUGUGUUGUGUAGCGGUGAAAUGCAUAGAUAUGACACAGAACGCCGAUUGCGAAGGCAACUUACUAAGCCAUUACUGACGCUGAGGCACGAAAGCGUGGGUAGCGAACAGGAUUAGAUACCCUGUAGUCCACGCUGU